AUUGAACGCUGGCGGCAGGCCUAGCACAUACAAGUCGAGCGGAUGAAGGGAGCUUGCUCCUGGAUUCAGCGGCGGACGGGUGAGUAAUGCCUAGGAAUCUGCCUGGUAGUGGGGGAUAACGUCCGGAAACGGGCGCUAAUACCGCAUACGUCCUGAGGGAGAAAGUGGGGGAUCUUCGGACCUCACGCUAUCAGAUGAGCCUAGGUCGGAUUAGCUAGUUGGUGGGGUAAAGGCCUACCAAGGCGACGAUCCGUAACUGGUCUGAGAGGAUGAUCAGUCACACUGGAACUGAGACACGGUCCAGACUCCUACGGGAGGCAGCAGUGGGGAAUAUUGGACAAUGGGCGAAAGCCUGAUCCAGCCAUGCCGCGUGUGUGAAGAAGGUCUUCGGAUUGUAAAGCACUUUAAGUUGGGAGGAAGGGCAGUAAGUUAAUACCUUGCUGUUUUGACGUUACCAACAGAAUAAGCACCGGCUAACUUCGUG
This 484-nucleotide ribosomal RNA is filed under the name uncultured bacterium. RNAcentral describes it as "partial 16S ribosomal RNA". It matches the Rfam family "Bacterial small subunit ribosomal RNA", at positions 30 to 507 of the family's 1533-position model. The record is from RNAcentral.